Molecule: long non-coding RNA, 1606 nt
Organism: Ictalurus punctatus (channel catfish)
Lineage: Eukaryota; Metazoa; Chordata; Actinopteri; Siluriformes; Ictaluridae
Source: Ensembl
CUUGUAUGUUUCAUCAAAGGUUCUGGUCCAAGGUGAAGUUUUAUCAAGUGAUCAUCAGCUAUUUAGAAUAUGAGAGAUAAACACAUUCAAACGACACAAGAGGCUAAAUAACUUGUUGAAUAUUUUAUUUGCAAACAAAGUAGUAAUAUCUUAGAUUCCGUAAAAAUAUACAUUUUGAAACUCGUGACGGCUAUAUUUACACGAACGGAGAACGCCUUUAAAACAAAAUGUACCGGUCUGGAGAGAGAAGGAAAAAACAAGAAAAAAACAAGAAUAAAGCUACAGCUGAGAAAAGUGGGGGGAUUUGUACGACAUCUACUUUCCCUCCAUUACAGUCUGGACAGAUUUCUGUAAAGUCUGAAACUGAAUCGAAGGAACUCUGAGAGACAGACGAGUCUGCGUGACGACUCGGUGGACUAUGGGGGAAACACCGAAGCAAAGCAAACCCAGUAUCUACUCAAAACAGUUCCUUCAUCUUCCUUUAAUAGACAGUGUUUCUGUUUAUUUUUCUUGGUAUUACAGUAUAAAGUUCCACCGCCUUGUAUGGAUCAGAGGAACGGAUUUUUAUUUACUUAUCAAACCCAUUACCACCCGCAUUAAAUUUACCGCUAAACGCAUGAUGGUCUGGGAAAACCCGUCAGAUAUCGCUAAUGAUUUUACUUUCUAAUUUCGCCUUGGCGUCUUCCUGUUAAGGUCGUGAUGUGUAAGCAGUCAGUUCAACAUACGCUGAAAAGAAGUGUGAUUUUUCUCACAGUUUGAUCAUGUUGCUGGAAACGGACGUAAUCCUAAUCAAUUCAGUGUGUGAUCGGAUAGUCAAAAUGUCUGCAAUGCUCCUGCGAUCACAUCAUCAUCAUCAUCAUCACCAAAACAGAGAAGAGCGCUUACACGCUCUGUACAGACGACAGCGGAGAAACUUUUCAAAUGUUUCAAUGAGCUAAUAAAAAAUAAUAAUAGUUAAAAAGAUGAAGCAGCGAUGAUUUCCUCACUGAUGUUAGCGUGAACAGCGGUCAGUCGAGUGAGGAGACGACGAUGGGGCUCGGGUUGAAACCCGGCGAGCGACUAUUACUUCAGGUGAUGAGACAGACUUUUUUGGAGGACGCUCAGAAUCAAAGCGAGAACUCAUUUCACAUCGUAAACAUAGAAUUCUUUACAAUUUUAGCAAAUUGCAUUUAGUUUUCCCAUAUAUACAGGGUGUUCCAAAAGUAUCAGUACAUACAGUAGGGGAAAUGAACUCUUUUUAGCAAAAUGUCUUCCAAAAAUGGUCAUACUUAGUUUAUAUUAUAUAUAGUUUUCUGAGACAGCCUUUAAGAACGUCUUUGACAAAAGAAGAACGUAUUGAAAUCAUCCUCAAGGCUGGAUCGGGAAACCGUCGUAAGGUUGCGAUGGACUUUAACGGGGAAACACGGCGAGCACAUCAACACACACGACACUGUUGCUCGACUUAUUAACAAAUUCAAAAAGACUGGAAGAGUUGCGAACAGACCAGGAAGUGAACGUCCACGAACGUCCACUGACGAACACAACCCACGUGGUUCUGGUGUACAUAGCACUCUAUGUAUGGAGACUUUUGCGACACCUUGUAUAUUAGGUUAUAAAUGUAGAGGAA